RNAcentral lists this microRNA precursor (67 nucleotides) under Otolemur garnettii (small-eared galago). Its description in RNAcentral is "miRNA (ENSOGAG00000022641.1)". Lineage: Eukaryota; Metazoa; Chordata; Mammalia; Primates; Galagidae. The record is from RNAcentral.
AGGGGGACCAACAUCUUGGUUUUCCUGGGACUGAGGGGCUUCCUAGGAUAUGGGAAUUAGAGAGCUA